This 362-nucleotide unclassified non-coding RNA is filed under the name uncultured Basidiomycota. RNAcentral describes it as "sequence contains ITS1". The stretch from base 1 to 103 matches the Rfam family "5.8S ribosomal RNA", at positions 50 to 154 of the family's 154-position model. Lineage: Eukaryota; Fungi; Basidiomycota. The record is from RNAcentral.
GAAAUGCGAUAAGUAGUGUGAAUUGCAGAAUUCAGUGAAUCAUCGAAUCUUUGAACGCACCUUGCGCUUUUUGUCUCCAAAAAGCAUGUCUGUUUGAGUGUCGCGAAAUUCUCAAUAUCUCACCCUUGACUUUGACGAGUUCAGGUUUGAUUUUGGAUUGUGGAAGUUGCAGGCUUGAAAGUCUGCUCUUCUCAAAUAUAUUAGCAAGAGUCUGAUUUGGUGCUCUUUUGGUAUAAUAAAAUUCUUGUACCAAUUGAAACCAAACUUUCAUUCGUGGAAUGAGGCUUGUGCUUCCAACAGUCUGUUCAAGACAAAUCUGACAAUUUGACCUCAAAUCAGAUAAGACUACCCGCUGAACUUAA